Molecule: ribosomal RNA, 117 nt
Filed under: Candidatus Komeilibacteria bacterium RIFOXYC2_FULL_45_12
Lineage: Bacteria; Candidatus Komeiliibacteriota
Source: RNAcentral
CUUGGUGAUUCAAGCGAGUUGGUAAAACCUCUUCCCAUUUCGAACAGAGAAGUUAAACGACUCAGCGCUGAUGGUAGUUAGGGCUUAAGCCUUAGCGAGAGUAGGCCGUCGCCAAGA